Molecule: ribosomal RNA, 279 nt
Filed under: uncultured bacterium
Lineage: Bacteria
Description: partial 16S ribosomal RNA
Rfam family: Bacterial small subunit ribosomal RNA
Source: RNAcentral
UGCCAGCCGCCGCGGUAAUACGGAGGGUGCAAGCGUUGUUCGGAAUUAUUGGGCGUAAAGCGAGCGUAGGCGGUUAAUCAAGUUGGUGGUGAAAGCCCGGAGCUCAACUCCGGAACUGCCAUCAAAACUGAUUGACUUGAGAUUGGUAGAGGAAAAUGGAAUUCCUAGUGUAGAGGUGAAAUUCGUAGAUAUUGGGAAGAACAUCGGUGGCGAAGGCGAUUUUCUGGGCCAAAUCUGACGCUGAGGUUCGAAAGCGUGGGUAGCAAACAGGAUUAGAUA